UGCAAAACAAUUUUGACUUAUAAAAUAUUUGACUAUAUAAUUUAAAUACAAAAUAUUAUAUAAAACAUAUUUUAUCCUCAAGUGAUUUAAGUAAAGGUGUAUGCUAUGUUUGGAUCGGAUGAACAGUUCCGUUAAAAUGAGUAAUAGGCUGUUUGAUUCCGUCAAAAUGAGUAAUAGGCUGUUUGAUUUGUUUUUUUCUGCCGAAACGGUGUAUAUUAUAUUUUGGAAAUUGAUUAUCAUAUUUUGUCGUACAGUGACAAGUAAAAAUCGUCGCUAUAUAAUCUAGCGACGAUUUUCAUGUGAUGUAUUUUUCAUUCCUGUCAAAAGUCUUGAAGGAACCAUUCCGUCCUCUAAAGAUAUAGGAGGGCUUCCUUGGCUGAGAUCGAUACAUUAUCAAACCACAAAGCUCCGAUCGAUUUCAUCUCAAAUUUAUUCUCCAAUCGAUUUCACAGGUGAUUUACUAGUCCUUCCAAAGCUUUGAAUUGAAUCAAAUAGCUUCAACUCUGUCUAUAUCUGGUAUGAUUUUUGAUUAUUGAUAUAUAUACACGCAUCUCUGUAAAUGGAGAUAAACUGUUUGAUCGUAUUUUAUGCCUUGAUUUUGUUAAGUGUUGCUAAAUUUACUGAAAACUAUCAUCAAUCCUACUUAAGUACUGUCAACAAUUCUAUAUUUGUGUCUUAGUUUGUAACUUCUUUUCCAGUUUUCCAUAUUUUGGGCUAUUAUUUGAACAAGGGUGGUUAUCUGUUGCAGUUUCAUGGACUGACUAGGAAUUAAUAUAUCAAUUUGGUUAGACAGAAAUUUUUCGUAUUUACUAAUUUUAAUCUCAUGCUGCAUAUUUUUUGUUCCAUUGCAUUUGAUAAGGUGAUUUUAAUCUCCUGAUCCUCCUUCAUCUGCAUAACCCCUCAGUGAAACCACCAGUGCAUAGCACAAAACUAGCACUAGCAGAAACAGAGCACUUAAUUUAUAACUCAUUAUGUCACAUAUUUAUAUCUCUGUGUUUUUUGAUGUGGUAGUUAUGGUAAUGGUGCAAACUUCUGAUCACAUGGAUUGAGGUGAGAGGACUAAAAAUCUUGGACAAGGGCUAUUAGAAAUGUGCUCCUACAUCAUCAAACUUUUGAUUAGUUGCACGUAACAAUGUACUGUAACUAGUAAAAUCUCCUGUAUAAAGAGGCUCAGAAAUCUCAGUUUUUAGUUGUUAGAUGUGUUUUUAUCCUAUUAGUAACAUUAUGAGGAAUUCAUACUUCAGUUUUAUUUUGUGCCUUGUUUUUUAGUCAAUGGUACUCACUGUUAUCCUGGUUACAAUUAUAUUUUUAUACCAAAAGUGGGGUUCUAUGUGUUUCUCAUAUAAGCAAAGUUUAACUUGAAAUGGACCAAUUAACCAAGAUAUUCCCCUGCCCUGACCCUGUGAUGAAAUCUGGUUAAUCAUUUGGGAUCACCAACAUAUGAGACCUGUGCAUUAUAGAGGGGGGAAACAUUAUGAGAAACGGAUGCACAUGGUUUAGCUAUAAACGACUUUCAAAAUAGCAAGUAUUAAACCAUUCUUAAAACUAAGAUUUUGGGUGUGUAUCCUUAAUUUAUACUUUAUAGCUUGUACCACAUUAAAAUAAUGAUGACAAAUAAUUUUAUGCAGCCUAAUUGUUAUGUAUAAAAAAUUAGAUUGGGGCAAGUAAUAUCAGUUUUAAUUUUAAAUUUUUGUAUUGCAAAUUUUGGCUGAUGAAUUUGAAGGGUGAUUUGUUUUUCAAAUUUUUAUUACCAGAGAUGGGAAAACUCUGGGAUGAAAGUGUGAGAAUAGUGAAUUUGGAGAAAUUGUGAAUCAAAAUAAGGGAGCAGCUGGUCCAAAGUUACAUUAUGUAUUUAUAUCCCACAAUGUUUUCUUUACUAACAAUAUAUCACUUGAUAAUUAUUAGUCCAAGAAAACAGAUUAAAUUAAAGACAUUGUGUGCAUUCAUAACAUGACUUCAAAUGGUCAACCUAAGCAAAAGACUUGAUCUUUACUCAUAUGAUUACUAGUGCUGGCCUUUUAUCAGGAUCAUUAACCCCUUUUAGCUUUCAGUUUAAAAAAUGUUAUUAUUAGGAGCAUAAAACUUGACUAUUUUCUACUAGUUACAAUUCUUCAAGUCAGUAAGUAUAUUUAUAGAGGUAAUAGAACUUACCAAUUUUUUCUCCUUUUUUUCUAGAGGGUAAUAGAAAUAGCUCCCUCAAAAGUAAAUUUGUUUUCCUUUUUACCUUUCGAGUUGCUUUGGUUUGGGAUGAAAUGAAGAGGCUAUGCUUGCCUGUUUCUGGUCAUGUGAAAAAUAUAAUAGUAAUCAUGAUGUUAUCUAUCACAUUUGAAAAAAAAAUGUAUCAUUUUAUUGUGUGAGAUUUUUCAUUGAUUGGUACUUGUAUGUCUAUUAUAUUCAACCUUUUAAGUAGGCACAAUUUAUAUCAUCUAUCGUUUCGUCUUUAUUUGAUUUCCAAAUUGUAAGUAGGUUAUCAUGAUUUCAGUAGAUUUAUCGAAACAACGGAUUUAGCAACACACCCUACAUCCCCUAGUCUGGACCUAAAAUAUAUUGUAGAGUCAUAUCUAACAUUGUGAUACGUUUAGGAAUUGCACACAAUUUAAAUAAAAAUGACAACCCUUUACAUUGCCCAUAUUAAUGGAACUACUAAUUAAUUUAUCUAUCUUACCCACAAAAUUCCAUUUGGAUUGUUCUAGUGUAAUUAAUUGUCUUCUCAUUAUUUUCUUGAGUUGUUUGAGUUUGCUCUUACUUUUUAAUUAAAUUGCAGUCAUAGCUCGUCGUAGAUUAGACAAACGGAAGAGGAUGAAGAGAUUAUUAGCUUGUUUUUUUUCAUUUUUGGUUCAAAAUAAUUGUCAUGAUUACCUUAUUCAUUAUAUAUAUGGCGCGACAUAGAUGUAUAAGAGCACUUACUAGACGAAAGUACACCCUUUUUUGCGGGCUAAAAUUUAUGAGGGAGCUAGUGUAUGACGGCACAUUAUAUGCCACAAUUACCUUAGAAUGGAUAGAGUAAGUUUUACCAAAUUGUGUGAUAUUUUAUAUACCACAGACAAACUUAGUAGUACAAAAUACCUUCAAAUAGAUGAACAAGUUGUCAUUUUCUUGUAUGCUAGAUAUAUUCAAUUCUUUUUUUGGUGAAAUUAGGUCACAUUCUUUUUUCCCUCUUUUAUCCUUACAGUUUUACUUAUAUUUCUAUUGUCCUUUUUAUAUGAAAUUUUUGAUAUCUUUCUAUUUAGUCGUUCAAAUUUUAUAAAAUUUUUAUUUUAUUCCACAUAAUUUACACACGCAAUGUGUGUGCCAUCGAGUGUUAGUAUAUUUUUAAUUUGAAUAAUUUAAAUGUAAGUGUUCAUUUUCAUCCAUAUUUUUGUACGAUUAGAUUGGACCACAGGGGCAAUGUUGGGCCAUGUUUGGUAUAGAUAUUCUUGUAGGGUGGCAAAAUGCUAUCAAUUGAAUAUAUCUAGCAUUUUGUGGGGCAAAAAAGGAAUUGAGAUGUUUGUCUCUGUGGGGCAAAAAAAGAAUUGAAAACUGAUUUUGGUAGUUUAUGUACUGAUAAGUUAGAAAGUUCUUCAAGUAGUAUGUUUAGGGUCAUUGGCGUGUAUUGAGUUUCUUAUUGUAUACUACUGAAACUGCUUGGUUUAUUGGGAGAUUUUAACAGGUUUAGCUUUUGGGGAGAAUUGGUGUGUAUAUAGUAUUUACUAAACUAGAAUUAUGGUGGUUAUGCUUUGCCAAUGGAGAGGUAUUGCCGGUUGUACUACUACGAGUAAGCAUAAUCAUAACUAUCACUGCUGAUAGUUAAUUAUAAGCGUGACCAUUUUAUAAGCAUAACCAUUUUAUAAUGAUAGUUAUAAUUAUCAACCUCUUUGUUCAACUAAACUAGUAUUAUGAUGGUUACACUUUGCCAAGGGUUGUACAAGUAGAUUGAAGUUAUCAUUUUCUUUUCUACUCUGACCACACUAUCAACCUGUCUGUUUUCUUUUUUAUAAUUAACUUAAAUGAGUUGGGGGGUAGAGUACCAUGGGUUAAGUUCUUUGUCAUGUAUACGUUUUUGUAGGUUUUUAAGCUUUGUUUAUUCAACUGUGCUAAAUUAUUUUUUUCUCCAACUCAUUUUAGGUCCACAAAAGAGAGCAAAGUAGCAUAAUAAGAUAUUUUCAAAUUAUUUGGAUAUAAGUGUUAUAUUUGGCAAAGAUAGAGCAACUGAAAAAGAUACUCUAUUAGUUGCGGAAAUGAUAGAGUUAGAUGAAGAGAUCCAAACAAAUGAUGGAGAUGAUUGCUUGGCUCCAAACGAAAUAUCUAGUAAGUCCUCUAGUUCUAAGAAGAGUAAGAGAAAAAUCAUCUACUCAAAAAAUUUGCCAACUUUCUUGGAUUGAAGGCUCGUUAAAUGAACAACAUAAGAAUUUCAGUAAUGCGUUGAGUAAUGUGUCCGGUUUAAAUAAAAGUGAACAUAAUAAGGUCGUGUUCAAGUUUGCUCGUGAGGAGUUGAUGGUGGUCCUUCCCAAUGAGCAAAAAAAGGGUUUUGCAAGGAUUUAUUGAGUGGGUGUUUUGUCAAUAAUUUAUUGAUGGGAUGCGUUAUUAAUUGAUUGGACAUUUUAUUAUGUUGUUGGUUGUUGAAUGAUGAAAUUAUCAUUAUGUUAUUGGAUUUAUCAUCACUUUAUAUUAUUGAGUGGGA
RNAcentral lists this long non-coding RNA (4660 nucleotides) under Panax ginseng (ginseng). Its description in RNAcentral is "long non-coding RNA (PGIN_LNC003321)". The record is from RNAcentral. Lineage: Eukaryota; Viridiplantae; Streptophyta; Magnoliopsida; Apiales; Araliaceae.